RNAcentral lists this ribosomal RNA (531 nucleotides) under Bifidobacterium pseudocatenulatum. RNAcentral describes it as "bacterial SSU rRNA". It matches the Rfam family "Bacterial small subunit ribosomal RNA", at positions 163 to 706 of the family's 1533-position model. The record is from RNAcentral. Lineage: Bacteria; Bacillati; Actinomycetota; Actinomycetes; Bifidobacteriales; Bifidobacteriaceae.
GUAAUGCCGGAUGCUCCGACUCCUCGCAUGGGGUGUCGGGAAAGAUUUCAUCGGUAUGGGAUGGGGUCGCGUCCUAUCAGGUAGUCGGCGGGGUAACGGCCCACCGAGCCUACGACGGGUAGCCGGCCUGAGAGGGCGACCGGCCACAUUGGGACUGAGAUACGGCCCAGACUCCUACGGGAGGCAGCAGUGGGGAAUAUUGCACAAUGGGCGCAAGCCUGAUGCAGCGACGCCGCGUGCGGGAUGACGGCCUUCGGGUUGUAAACCGCUUUUGAUCGGGAGCAAGCCUUCGGGUGAGUGUACCUUUCGAAUAAGCACCGGCUAACUACGUGCCAGCAGCCGCGGUAAUACGUAGGGUGCAAGCGUUAUCCGGAAUUAUUGGGCGUAAAGGGCUCGUAGGCGGUUCGUCGCGUCCGGUGUGAAAGUCCAUCGCUUAACGGUGGAUCUGCGCCGGGUACGGGCGGGCUGGAGUGCGGUAGGGGAGACUGGAAUUCCCGGUGUAACGGUGGAAUGUGUAGAUAUCGGAAAGAA